UAAAAGAAAAUAAUUAAUUAACAAUAAUGUAUUCAAAGUAACAUUGACGCUCAUUCCAAUACUUGAAUUCCCAGUACAGUACAAACAACUUGAAUCAAACACAUAGUUACUUCAACAUUCAAUUACAUAAACUUUCCCUUGAAAGUUCCAAAACAAUCAUCGUCGGUCAUAGUUUUAACUUUAGUGUUCAUGUUUUCCUCAAGUCGAGGAUUCCUUUGAAUUAGUUGCUCUCACAUUCCUCUAAACUCUUCUUCCAACAACUGAAAUUGAAAAAAAAAAAGAACCAUUGCUAAACUGAUUUAGGAAAACUACUAAGUAGCAAAAAGAACAAUGCGAUUGAACCUCAUAUAAUAUCUUGAAGAAAUACAGGAAUCAUGCGACUACUACUAUCUGCAAGAAAAUAUAAAACCACAUUCAAUAGUAGAAGCUUAAGAGAACUAAAUCAAUUUGGCAUCAUUAGCUUAUGGAAAAGAUCAUUCCACUAAUAGAGAUAGAGUUAUAUACAACUGUAGGAAGUGUUUCACAAAUGAUGUACCCUUCUCAGCCAGCCGUUAGGUGAAUAUCUUUUGCAAUCUUUUCCUAAUUACCAUAUUUUAUUUUCCCGAGAAUGGUGGAUAAUACUUUCUAUAAGCAAAAUCAAAGAGAAAUAACAUAAAAAAAAUAUUAUUCUCCAGUCUUAAGGUAUCAUAUGUAGAAAGAAACGAUAUCAAGAUCACCUUGACAAAAUGGAAUUUUUAAUCAACUUAAGACAAAUAAUAAUAAUUUUGCAGAAAGCUCAAGAUAUUUGAACCCGAAACUCCUAACAGUGCAUAAAAGGAACUAGCAAUCACUAGUAUCAUUGUACAGGCUUACUAAUUCCUUCUCUACUCUUGAAUUCAACAGAAUGAUUGAUCAAUUUCAGUCCUAACAUCAAUGUCAAUGUUCCUUAUCCAACAUAAAUUGUCAAUCAAGCUGAUAUUCAUAAGAUACCCUACACCAUCCACAAUCUAAAUCAUGAAACACAUAAUCGUAAUGGUCAUUUACCUUCCCUUCAUAAAUAAGUAUCUUCAAGCUUAUUUUUCAUUCAACCAUCACAAACAAGAUUCUUUUUCAAUUUAAUUUACCGUGCUGUUUGGAUUAGAGUCGCCAUCAAGCACAACCACAAUAUUUCUAACACAAGACAAGUUACUAUAUAAUAUCCUUCUGUUGGAACUAACAUCAAAUGAUUCAGCAGCGAAUAAGGUUCAACACGUUAAAGAAGUUUUAACAUGUCAAAAAUACCAAGAUCAAGAUUAAACUAGUAAUCCAUAUCUUAUCAGACAUUUCAGAUCAAUUUAAUAUUCAGUUGUUUUCUCUUUUAUAGGGAAACAAUAGAGAGUGCCAUUUCAUUCGCUCAAUAUAGAAUAGUUUGUCAGUAACAAAUACUAAUCAAACAAACUAUCUAGUUGAAGCAAAGAUAGUCCUAUAAUUUAAUUCAUUACCUUUUGCGUCAUUUGAUGAAUAUCGUAUGUACUAGUAAAUAGAUUCAAGGUUCUAUAGCAGUAAGAACGAUUGAACAACCAAAUAAUGUUAAUAAUCUCAUCACUACCAUUAUAAAAUCAGUUCAACAUAAAAAGAUGAAUCAAAGAAAGUAUAAACUUUAACCUCAUGUUAAUAAAACAAAGUCAGUCCAUUAAAUUUUAUUUAAUCCUCUAAGGCAUUUGCUCAAACAGUUGAUAUGAACAGAAUACGACAAAAGGUACACAUAGUUAACCAGAAAUUCAAUCCAGUGAACAAAUUAGAACAGAAAAAUACUUACCAAAAUCUUAAUAUCUUCAACCAGAUGUAGAGAAUAGAUUAAAUAUGGCAGUUGAUUGUGUGUAAAAGGCGGCCUAAAUUUUGGUAACCUUCUGUCGUGUUUAGAAUUCUAGGACAAUCUAACACCCAUGUAGUUUUCCCUUUCAAUUCUCUGCACCAUAUGGCGACCUCGGCGGUUUAGUGAACAUAAAACGGGGGACGCCUAAUUGGAGUUGAGGAAAUGGGAGAGAUUGGUAGGGUUCUUAGAGAAGACAGCCUUCGUAAUAGUGUUUUGUUUUGGAUUAAACAUUAUAAAGUUAGAAAAUUUCCUUCAUUAGUGAUAAAUGUCAGUAAAUAUUGAC
RNAcentral lists this long non-coding RNA (2117 nucleotides) under Nicotiana tabacum (common tobacco). Its description in RNAcentral is "long non-coding RNA (NTAB_LNC001445)". The record is from RNAcentral. Lineage: Eukaryota; Viridiplantae; Streptophyta; Magnoliopsida; Solanales; Solanaceae.